GCAACAUUUAUAUAGCAAUACUGAAAGGGGUUUGAAAUGAUCUGCCCAGCGAGGUUGUGCUGCAUCCUUGGAUGUUUUCAAGACUUGAAAAGAUAAAGCCCUGAGCAAUCUGGUUUGAGCUUGGAGCUGACCCGGUUUUGUGCAAGAGCUUGCCCAGAGUCACCUUCCAACCUGAAUUAUCUUGUGAACAUAUGAAAAUGAAGGAGGCUGAAGUUCCACCACCGGCAUCUGCAGCAACACUACUUGUCUGUUUGAAAAGAAAGGAGCCCACUCUUUCUUCAAAUCCCCAUCCUUGAAGCAUGACACACUGGGGCUUUGUGCACAAGCAGACUGAAAGCUGCUGGGAACUGAAGAGCUAUGAGGAAGGCAGACUCGAAGAAAACACCUAUUAUGUUCAUGUGGCUCAUGUCUCCUUUAAAUGUAGCAGAGAAAAAGGCGAGCUGCUUGCAAUAGAAAAGGCAGGGCUUUGGUUGUUUUAUAGGAAUUACAUGGUUAUGCAUGUUCUUGAACAAAAGUAUGCAGUCAUAAAGAUACCGUCUGUAAAUAUUCCUUGGUAACAAUCCAUGGAGGGACCUGGUUAGACAGAACAAACACCCUUCUGUACAUAGCAUACAAUAUUGCAAUGUAUCAUUUUCAUGUUACAGCUGUCCCUAGACUAGGAGAAAGCUUUAGAAAAGGUACCUGUUGCUCCUUUGGCACAAUUUUGUUGGCUGGGCAGAGCCUGUAUACAGAUGGUAUUAUUGCAAUAACAGCAAUUACGGGCCUUUGGUGGGUGAUUUGUGGUUUAGGUCACCACCAAUAAAAAUAGCUUUGAAAUAAAAACAGAGGAAUGAGGUUUGAGGAAAAAAAAGACAGAAAAGGAAGAAGAGAAGGAAUUCAAAAUGCAGAGAAGUGCUCCAUAUGUCACAAAGCAGCAUGAGAACCAGGCCUAUAACCUGCCUGCGGGAAUCAGAUAAGCUGCCCUUCUGUAGACCCCAAUUGCCAGAGAUCAAAGGAAAAGCAGAGAUUAGAAGUAUCUUUGUGGUGGUGCAGUGGCUGUAACAUACAUUUCUGAAAGGAUUUGAUGCUACUAGAUUCCUCUUCUCAAAAGCAGCUGGGUUCAUGCUUUUCCUCACUCCAGUACAGAGUUUGCUAUGGAAACUGUGAGCGUCAUGGUGUUUCUCCUUUGUAAGUUUCUUCCCUACUUCUUCAGAAAGCUAUCCCUUCCCCCAAACAGUGAGAAGGUGCUGGCAUCCCCUAUGCAGAGGAAGUGUUAGAAGAGAAAUAAGACGGUGUUAAAACCUAGUCACUCAGAAGUCAUCUGGAAGCUGAGAGCUGUUUGUGAACAUUUGGGAAGAGAGACUGGCACUUCUGUGUGAGUACGUGAAGGGGACGGAUAAGGUUUAUAAUGAUUUGCUGUCUCCACUUGCCUCCCAGUGUUCCUAUGAAACAGAUUUUCUGUUUUUACCAAUUUACCCCUGAAAUGGUCACAUAAUGUAUUCUUCCUCACCUCAAUGCCGUGAAGCUCACAGACCAGACUUUUGCUUCUUGCUUGUCCUUGACUGUCCUACUUGAGUCUGUGCAUUUGGCAUCCCAAUGGUGUGCCACGUUGCAGACAGGGAGCCCAGGCUCCCCACAGGACAGUCUUGAGUGUAGAGAGAAAUGAAGACAAAAAAUCCCUUUGUCAUUUGAGGCUUUGAACAGAUGGACAGGAAAGGGACUGUGCAGUAGAAGAGCUGGGAUGUCUGGUGUGUGCAGCAGCAUCUUGGUCAAUAAAGGAACUGCAACUGUUCAUUAA
Gallus gallus (chicken) is the source of this 1777-nucleotide long non-coding RNA. RefSeq lists it as uncharacterized. The record is from RefSeq and is a predicted model, not a curated record. The transcript has 2 exons. Lineage: Eukaryota; Metazoa; Chordata; Aves; Galliformes; Phasianidae.